AGAGUUUGAUCCUGGCUCAGAAUGAACGUUGGCGGCGUGGAUUAGGCAUGCAAGUCGAGCGAUAACCCGCCGCAAGGCGGGGGAAAGCGGCAAACGGGGUAGUAAUGCGUAGGUGACGUGCCCUCAGGUCUGGGAUAGCCACGGGAAACUGUGAUUAAUACCGGAUGACCUCUCUGGAUCUGAAUUCUGGGGAGCAAAGGUGAGAUUCCGCCGGAGGAGCGGCUUGCGUGGUAUUAGCUAGUUGGUGAGGUAAUGGCUCACCAAGGCAAAGAUGCCUAGGGGGUGUGAGAGCACGACCCCCACCACUGGGACUGAGAUACUGCCCAGACACCUACGGGUGGCUGCAGUCGAGAAUCUUCGGCAAUGGGCGCAAGCCUGACCGAGCGACGCCGCGUGCGGGAUGAAGGCCUUCGGGUUGUAAACCGCUGUCAGAGGGGAUGAAAUUCCGCAGGGCAAUCCCUGCGGAUUGACAGAGCCUCAGAGGAAGCACGGGCUAAGUUCGUGCCAGCAGCCGCGGUAAUACGAACUGUGCAAACGUUAUUCGGAUUCACUGGGCUUAAAGGGUGCGUAGGCGGCUGUUUAAGUAGGGUGUGAAAGCCCCCGGCUCAACCGGGGAAUUGCGCUCUAAACUGGACAGCUUGAGUGAGACAGGGGUGUGCGGAACUUCCGGUGGAGCGGUGAAAUGCGUUGAUAUCAUCAGGAACACCAGUGGCGAAAGCGGCUUACUGGGUCUCUUCUGACGCUGAGAUACGAAAGCUAGGGGAGCGAAGGGGAUUAGAUACCCCCGUAGUCCUAGCUGUAAACGUUGAGCACUUGAUCGGGGACCCCCCCAUAGGUUCUCGGUCGUAGCGAAAGUGUUAAGUGCUCCGCCUGGGGAGUAUGGUCGCAAGGCUGAAACUUAAAGGAAUUGACGG
Molecule: ribosomal RNA, 914 nt
Filed under: uncultured bacterium
Lineage: Bacteria
Description: bacterial SSU rRNA
Rfam family: Bacterial small subunit ribosomal RNA
Source: RNAcentral